CCUUUAACCAAAGGAGCUAGUCCAAGCUAAGACUUCUA
RNAcentral lists this transfer RNA (38 nucleotides) under Crocodylus niloticus (Nile crocodile). RNAcentral's name for it is "partial tRNA-Arg". RNAcentral also lists the same sequence under 2 other names. The record is from RNAcentral. Lineage: Eukaryota; Metazoa; Chordata; Crocodylia; Crocodylidae.